AUGCCCUAGUAACGGCGAGUGAAGCGGCAACAGCUCAAAUUUGAAAUCUGGCCCUCGGGUCCGAGUUGUAAUUUGUAGAGGAUGAUUUUGGUUAGGUACCUUCCGAGUUCCUUGGAACAGGACGCCUUAGAGGGUGAGAGCCCCGUACGGUUGGAUGCCGAGCCUCUGUAAAUCUCCUUCGACGAGUCGAGUAGUUUGGGAAUGCUGCUCUAAAUGGGAGGUAAAUUUCUUCUAAAGCUAAAUACCGGCCAGAGACCGAUAGCGCACAAGUAGAGUGAUCGAAAGAUGAAAAGCACUUUGAAAAGAGGGUUAAAUAGUACGUGAAAUUGUUGAAAGGGAAGGGCUUGUGACCAGACCUUUGCCUUGCGGAUCAUCCGGUGUUCUCACCGGUGCACUCCGCUUGGUUGAGGCCAGCAUCAGUUUCGGCGGCGGGAUAAAGACUUCAGGAACGUGACUCCCCCGGGAGUGUUAUAGCCUGCUGUGUAAUACCGCCGCUGGGACUGAGGACCGCGCUUCGGCUAGGAUGCUGGCAUAAUGGUCAUCAGCCACCCGUCUUGAAACACGGACCAAGGAGUCGAACAUUUAUGCGAGUUUUUGGGUGUUAAACCCUCAAGCGUAAUGAAAGUGAACGGAGGUGAGAGCCCUUACGGGUGCAUCAUCGACCGAUCCUGAUGUCUUCGGAUGGAUUUGAGUAAGAGCAUAACUGUUCGGACCCGAAAGAUGGUGAACUAUGCGUGGAUAGGGUGAAGCCAGAGGAAACUCUGGUGGAGGCUCGCAGCGGUUCUGACGUGCAAAUCGAUCGUCAAAUCUGCGCAUGGGGCGAAAGACUAUCGACCAUCU
This 840-nucleotide ribosomal RNA is filed under the name Microdochium seminicola. RNAcentral describes it as "eukaryotic LSU rRNA". It matches the Rfam family "Eukaryotic large subunit ribosomal RNA", at positions 73 to 945 of the family's 3401-position model. The record is from RNAcentral. Lineage: Eukaryota; Fungi; Ascomycota; Sordariomycetes; Xylariales; Microdochiaceae.